GACGAACGCUGGCGGCGUGCUUAACACAUGCAAGUCGAACGGAAAGGCCCUGCUUGCUGGGUACUCGAGUGGCGAACGGGUGAGUAACACGUGGGUGAUCUGCCCUGCACUUCGGGAUAAGCCUGGUAAACUGGGUCUAAUACCGGAUAGGAGCCAUUUUUAGUGUGAUGGUUGGAAAGUUUUUUCGGUGUAGGAUGAGCUCGCGGCCUAUCAGCUUGUUGGUGGGGUAAUGGCCUACCAAGGCGGCGACGGGUAGCCGGCCUGAGAGGGUGGACGGCCACAUUGGGACUGAGAUACGGCCCAGACUCCUACUGGAGGCAGCAGUGGGGAAGAUUGCACAAUGGGCGCAAGCCUGAUGCAGCGAGGCCGCGUGGGGGAUGACGGCCUUCGGGUUGUAAACUCCGUUCGCUAGGGACGAAGCUUUUUGUGACGGUACCUAGAGAAGAAGCACCGGCUAACUACGUG
Molecule: ribosomal RNA, 465 nt
Filed under: uncultured bacterium
Lineage: Bacteria
Description: partial 16S ribosomal RNA
Rfam family: Bacterial small subunit ribosomal RNA
Source: RNAcentral